RNAcentral lists this ribosomal RNA (301 nucleotides) under uncultured bacterium. RNAcentral's name for it is "partial 16S ribosomal RNA". It matches the Rfam family "Bacterial small subunit ribosomal RNA", at positions 509 to 807 of the family's 1533-position model. The record is from RNAcentral.
CAGCCGCCGCGGUAAUACGAGGGGGGCAAGCGUUGUUCGGAAUUAUUGGGCGUAAAGGGUGCGUAGGCGGUCUGAUAAGUCUUAUGUGAAAUCUAUGGGCUCAACCCAUAGUCUGCAUAGGAAACUGUCAGGCUUGAGGAUGGGAGAGGUGAGUGGAAUUUCCGGUGUAGCGGUGAAAUGCGUAGAUAUCGGAAGGAACACCUGUGGCGAAAGCGGCUCACUGGACCAUUACUGACGCUGAUGCACGAAAGCUAGGGGAGCAAACAGGAUUAGAUACCCGAGUAGUCCCUGUCUCUUAUAC